RNAcentral lists this ribosomal RNA (417 nucleotides) under Blautia producta. RNAcentral describes it as "partial 16S ribosomal RNA". It matches the Rfam family "Bacterial small subunit ribosomal RNA", at positions 76 to 511 of the family's 1533-position model. The record is from RNAcentral. Lineage: Bacteria; Bacillati; Bacillota; Clostridia; Lachnospirales; Lachnospiraceae.
UUGAAGUCUUUGUGACUGAGCGGCGGACGGGUGAGUAACGCGUGGGUAACCUGCCUCAUACAGGGGGAUAACAGUUAGAAAUGACUGCUAAUACCGCAUAAGCGCACAGGACCGCAUGGUCUGGUGUGAAAAACUCCGGUGGUAUGAGAUGGACCCGCGUCUGAUUAGCUAGUUGGAGGGGUAACGGCCCACCAAGGCGACGAUCAGUAGCCGGCCUGAGAGGGUGAACGGCCACAUUGGGACUGAGACACGGCCCAGACUCCUACGGGAGGCAGCAGUGGGGAAUAUUGCACAAUGGGGGAAACCCUGAUGCAGCGACGCCGCGUGAAGGAAGAAGUAUCUCGGUAUGUAAACUUCUAUCAGCAGGGAAGAAAAUGACGGUACCUGACUAAGAAGCCCCGGCUAACUACGUGCCAG